UUGUAUGUAGUUUUGAACCACUCUAAUGUACAUACAUAUAUACAUACAUACAUAUGUAUAUAUAUGUAUAUCUACCAUAUAUAUUUAUAUAUGUAUAUAAAUAUGUUCACAUGUAUUUUUGACAGUUUUUCUUUCUUCCGAUGUCGGCAACUAAUGUCCAUGUAAGCACAGUUUGCGAAUCAAGCAGGAAUAAGGAAUAAUAUGUAGUUUCUUAAGCAUACAAACAGCCAAUAAGAAGUGCCACAGCUGCCUUAGCGCAUCUAAAAGGCAACAGUUUUCAUGAAUCAAAGAACGACACGACAAACAUUGCAUUUAGAAAAAAUACAUACAUAUAGGCAUACAUAUAUAUGUACAUAUGUACGUAUGUACGUACAUGUCAUAUGCAUCAAUUUGUAACCAUGUGCAUAUAUUUUUAUCUAUCCCGAAAAAAGAGCCUUUUAAGAUAACAUUUACAAGAAAUGAGUCAGAUUUUUUUUUCAACGUAUAUCUUUAUUUAAAAAAUUUCGAACACAAAGCCUCAACUGUAUAACUAGUAAGCGUAAAUAAAUUGUUAAAAUUGAUUUAGAUGUAAUAUGUUCAACAUGAGUUGAACCAAAAAAAAAACGCUAUGGGAACCAUAUGAAACAAAUAUAAAUAUCAUAACAAAAAUG
Bactrocera neohumeralis is the source of this 650-nucleotide long non-coding RNA. RefSeq lists it as uncharacterized. The transcript is spliced from 2 exons. Lineage: Eukaryota; Metazoa; Arthropoda; Insecta; Diptera; Tephritidae. The record is from RefSeq and is a predicted model, not a curated record.